UACGGGGGGAGCAAGCGUUGUUCGGAUUUACUGGGCGUAAAGGGCGCGUAGGCGGCCACCGCAAGUCGGUUGUGAAAUCUCUGGGCUUAACCCAGAAAGGUCAACCGAUACUGCGGGGCUAGAGUGCAGAAGGGGCAACUGGAAUUCUCGGUGUAGCGGUGAAAUGUGUAGAGAUCGGGAGGAACACCGGUGGCGAAGGCGGGUCUCUGGGCAUCUCCUGACGCUGAGGCGCGAAAGCGUGGGGAGCAAACGGG
Molecule: ribosomal RNA, 254 nt
Filed under: uncultured bacterium
Lineage: Bacteria
Description: partial 16S ribosomal RNA
Rfam family: Bacterial small subunit ribosomal RNA
Source: RNAcentral